GAUGAACGCUGGCGGCGUGCUUAACACAUGCAAGUCGAACGGAAAGGCCGAAGCUUGCUUCGGUACUCGAGUGGCGAACGGGUGAGUAACACGUGGGUGAUCUGCCCUGUACUUCGGGAUAAGCUUGGGAAACUGGGUCUAAUACCGGAUAUGACGAUCUCUUGGAUGGGGUUGUGGAAGGCUUUUGCGGUAUGGGAUGAGCUCGCGGCCUAUCAGCUUGUUGGUGGGGUAAUGGCCUACCAAGGCGUCGACGGGUAGCCGGCCUGAGAGGGUGUACGGCCACAUUGGGACUGAGAUACGGCCCAGACUCCUACGGGAGGCAGCAGUGGGGAAUAUUGCACAAUGGGCGCAAGCCUGAUGCAGCGACGCCGCGUGGGGGAUGACGGCCUUCGGGUUGUAAACUCCUUUCGCAAUCGACGAAGCCUUUUGGUGACGGUAGGUUGAGAAGAAGCACCGGCUAACUACGUG
This 468-nucleotide ribosomal RNA is filed under the name uncultured bacterium. RNAcentral describes it as "partial 16S ribosomal RNA". It matches the Rfam family "Bacterial small subunit ribosomal RNA", at positions 28 to 507 of the family's 1533-position model. The record is from RNAcentral.